AUUGAACGCUGGCGGCAGGCUUAACACAUGCAAGUCGAGCGGGGGAAGGUAGCUUGCUACCGGACCUAGCGGCGGACGGGUGAGUAAUGCUUAGGAAUCUGCCGAUUAGUGGGGGACAACAUCUCGAAAGGGAUGCUAAUACCGCAUACGUCCGACGGGAGCAAGCAGGGGAUCUUCGGACCUUGCGCUAAUAGAUGAGCCUAAGUCGGAUUAGCUAGUUGGUGGGGUAAAGGCCUACCAAGGCGACGAGCUGUAGCGGGUCUGAGAGGAUGAUCCGCCACACUGGGACUGAGACACGGCCCAGACUCCUACGGGAGGCAGCAGUGGGGAAUAUUGGACAAUGGGGGGAACCCUGAUCCAGCCAUGCCGCGUGUGUGAAGAAGGCCUUAUGGUUGUAAAGCACUUUAAGCGAGGAGGAGGCUACUUUAGUUAAUACCUAGAGAUAGUGGACGUUACUCGCAGAAUAAGCACCGGCUAACUCUGUGCCAGCAGCCGCCGUAA
This 501-nucleotide ribosomal RNA is filed under the name uncultured bacterium. RNAcentral describes it as "partial 16S ribosomal RNA". It matches the Rfam family "Bacterial small subunit ribosomal RNA", at positions 30 to 523 of the family's 1533-position model. The record is from RNAcentral.